RNAcentral lists this long non-coding RNA (709 nucleotides) under Cricetulus griseus (Chinese hamster). Its description in RNAcentral is "lncRNA (ENSCGRG00015033201.1)". Lineage: Eukaryota; Metazoa; Chordata; Mammalia; Rodentia; Cricetidae. The record is from RNAcentral.
GCGAGCUCGGGAGAGGCGGGCCGGCCCCCGCUCUUGCAGGACCUGGGCACCGGGCAAAGGGUCCCCGCUCCUCGAGAGGAGGCAGGCGACGAAGAUACGGACCCACAUUCUUUCAGGGCGGCGAGACCCCUGCAGCACCCGCCCGGAGUAGGAAGGGACUGAAGAUCUGAAGCUGAUGGUGACUGGGUCUGUCUAGACGCAGCUCGGUAAAAGAGAUGGAUGGAGACGAGAGAGUGGCCGAGGGACAGGCCCGCGGGGAAGCCAGGGGAAGAGCCGAGAAGGACGUGGUCUCAAGGGCUGGGGCGGUGCCCAUGAGCCUGGCGGAUCUCUGCUGCGACCCUUCCGGGCCGCGGUCUGCACUGACUCCUUCACUCCUCUGGUGCUCCCCACCAGCUGCGGUGAUUUAUGGCUGGGCCAGGCCUGACGACCUUGGACGGAUAACUAAUGACAGACACCUCAUUUGCCUAGGGGUCCCGUUUGCCUGCGAGGCAGGGUGGGGGACAUCCCCACUUCUGCCUGUGUCAUCUGGGGACCUCUGAGAACAGACUGCUGCCUCCUCCUCUUGGUUCUGCCAACUUCUUGGUCCUUGUUUGAGAUGCCCUGAUUCCUGGUCUCCAUUAGAACCCUGGGAGAGCAUCCAAGGGGAAGGCUAAGGAGGGAAGGUGACACACUCAUUCUCUGUCCACCCCCACACUCAGAAACUAAGUCA